This is a long non-coding RNA of Sinocyclocheilus grahami, 585 nucleotides long. RefSeq lists it as uncharacterized. NCBI's taxonomy places the organism in Eukaryota, Metazoa, Chordata, Actinopteri, Cypriniformes, Cyprinidae. The transcript is spliced from 3 exons. The record is from RefSeq and is a predicted model, not a curated record.
GUCUGCUCUUUCCUCAGAAGCGGAGACGGUGUCGUGGUUCUUGUGUUCAUGUAUAGCACACAGCAGACAGACACACUUCUGAUCAGUGCGACAGAAGACAUCCAUCAGUUUCUCAUGAAGAGAGCAGGUUUUGCUCUGAAGAUCCGUGGCUUCGGUCAGCAGGUGUUUCUUCCAUCCGUGGAGAUCAUUGUGCUUCUCCAGGUGACUUCUGCAGAAUGAGGACACACAGGUGAGGCAGGAUUGCACAGCUUUGGUUCUUCUGGAGGUGCAGGAAUCACAGCUGACUCCAUGUGCUUCAGCAUCUUCAUCAUCCUCCUCCUUUGCUCUCAUCUUCAUCAGUUUCUCAGAAAGCUCCUUCAUCUGCAGCCAGUCAGUGACAACAGGUUUGUUGGGAAAGGGAAUAAUGACUGGGUUUCUGAAGACAUCCAGACAGACAGAACACCUGAGAGAUUCCCGAUCAUAUAAAGCUGCAGCUGCCAUUUUUGCUGGAUCCACAAACGAAACUUUGAGGGAUGCUUCAGUGUCGUGUGUUUCCACUAGAUGGACCCAUCGUCUUGAAGAAGCACUACAAAAGUUACAUUUUAA